GUGGCGAGUGGCGAACGGGUGAGUAAUAUAUCGGAACGUACCCGGAAAUGGGGGAUAACGUAGCGAAAGUUACGCUAAUACCGCAUAUGCCCUGAGGGGGAAAGCGGGGGAUUCGCAAGAACCUCGCGUUUUCGGAGCGGCCGAUAUCGGAUUAGCUAGUAGGUGAGGUAAAGGCUCACCUAGGCGACGAUCCGUAGCUGGUCUGAGAGGACGACCAGCCACACUGGAACUGAGACACGGUCCAGACUCCUACGGGAGGCAGCAGUGGGGAAUUUUGGACAAUGGGCGCAAGCCUGAUCCAGCCAUGCCGCGUGAGUGAAGAAGGCCUUCGGGUUGUAAAGCUCUUUCAGCCGGAAAGAAAACGCACGGGUUAAUACCUUGUGUGGAUGACGGUACCGGAAGAAGAAGCACCGGCUAACUAC
Molecule: ribosomal RNA, 422 nt
Filed under: uncultured bacterium
Lineage: Bacteria
Description: bacterial SSU rRNA
Rfam family: Bacterial small subunit ribosomal RNA
Source: RNAcentral